Molecule: long non-coding RNA, 352 nt
Organism: Balaenoptera ricei (Rice's whale)
Lineage: Eukaryota; Metazoa; Chordata; Mammalia; Artiodactyla; Balaenopteridae
Exons: 3
Source: RefSeq, a predicted model, not a curated record
GGUACUAUUCCAUCAUCCUCAUUGUACAGGCCCAAUUCAGAUGCCACUGCCCCACUGAAGCCUUCCCAGACACCUUGCCCCCGCACCAAGCCAUCUCCCCAUCACCCCUCAGACCACCAAGGGGCACCAGGACCUGGGGCUGCCUGGUAGGGCAGUGCCCACCUUCCCAGUCAGACUGGAUGAUCACUGCAGGGGACACGGGUUCGAGCCCUGGUCUGGGAAGAUCCCACAUGGCGCGGAGCAACUAGGCCCGUGAGCCACAACUACUGAGCCUGUGCGUACUGGAGCUUCUGCCCCGCAACAAGACAGGCCGCGACAGUGAAAGGCCCGCACACCGCGAUGAAGAGUGGAC